UACGUAGGGGGCAAGCGUUGUCCGGAAUCAUUGGGCGUAAAGAGCGCGUAGGCGGUCCAGUAAGUCCGCUCUGAAAGUCCGGGGCUCAACCCCGGGAGGCGGGCGGAUACUGCUGGGCUAGAGUCCGGAAGAGGCGAGUGGAAUUCCUGGUGUAGCGGUGAAAUGCGCAGAUAUCAGGAAGAACACCCGUGGCUAAGGCGGCUCUCUAGUACGGUACUGACGCUGAGACGCGAAAGCGUGGGGAGCGAACAGG
RNAcentral lists this ribosomal RNA (253 nucleotides) under uncultured bacterium. Its description in RNAcentral is "partial 16S ribosomal RNA". It matches the Rfam family "Bacterial small subunit ribosomal RNA", at positions 524 to 776 of the family's 1533-position model. The record is from RNAcentral.